This 881-nucleotide ribosomal RNA is filed under the name Hermatomyces sphaericus. RNAcentral describes it as "partial large subunit ribosomal RNA". It matches the Rfam family "Eukaryotic large subunit ribosomal RNA", at positions 62 to 961 of the family's 3401-position model. Lineage: Eukaryota; Fungi; Ascomycota; Dothideomycetes; Pleosporales; Hermatomycetaceae. The record is from RNAcentral.
AGAGCAACAGGGAUUGCCCUAGUAACGGCGAGUGAAGCGGCAAGAGCUCAAAUUUGAAAUCUGGCUCCUUUGGAGUCCGAGUUGUAAUUUGUAGAGGGUGCUUUGGUGUCGGCUAUGGCCUAAGUUCCUUGGAACAGGACGUCACAGAGGGUGAGAACCCCGUAUGUGGCUGCUAGCCUUCACCAUGUAAAGCCCCUUCGACGAGUCGAGUUGUUUGGGAAUGCAGCUCUAAAUGGGAGGUAAAUUUCUUCUAAAGCUAAAUAUUGGCCAGAGACCGAUAGCGCACAAGUAGAGUGAUCGAAAGAUGAAAAGCACUUUGGAAAGAGAGUCAAAAAGCACGUGAAAUUGUUGAAAGGGAAGCGCUUGCAGCCAGACUUGCUCGUAGUUGCUCAUCCGAGCUUUUGCUCGGUGCACUCUUCUGCGAGCAGGCCAGCAUCAGUCCGGGCGGUUGGAUAAAGGCUCUGGGAAUGUAGCUCUCUUCGGGGAGUGUUAUAGCCCAGGGUGUCAUGCAACCAGUCUGGACUGAGGUCCGCGCAUCUGCUAGGAUGCUGGCGUAAUGGCUGUAAGCGGCCCGUCUUGAAACACGGACCAAGGAGUCUAACAUCUAUGCGAGUGUUUGGGUGUCAAGCCCGGGCGCGCAAUGAAAGUGAACGGAGGUGGGAACCCUUCGGGGCGCACCAUCGACCGAUCCUGAUGUCUUCGGAUGGAUUUGAGUAAGAGCAUAGCUGUUGGGACCCGAAAGAUGGUGAACUAUGCCUGAAUAGGGUGAAGCCAGAGGAAACUCUGGUGGAGGCUCGCAGCGGUUCUGACGUGCAAAUCGAUCGUCAAAUUUGGGCAUAGGGGCGAAAGACUAAUCGAACUAUCUAGUAGCUGGGUCUGCA